UACGGAGGGUGCAAGCGUUGUCCGGAUUUAUUGGGUUUAAAGGGUGCGUAGGCGGCUGAUUAAGUCAGCGGUGAAAGUUUUCGGCUCAACCGAGAGACUGCCGUUGAUACUGGUCAGCUUGAGUUAUGGAGGGGUACAUGGAAUUUAUGGUGUAGCGGUGAAAUGCAUAGAUACCAUAAGGAACACCGAUAGCGAAGGCAUUGUACUGGCCAUAAACUGACGCUGAGGCACGAAAGCGUGGGUAGCGAACAGG
This 253-nucleotide ribosomal RNA is filed under the name uncultured bacterium. RNAcentral's name for it is "partial 16S ribosomal RNA". It matches the Rfam family "Bacterial small subunit ribosomal RNA", at positions 524 to 776 of the family's 1533-position model. The record is from RNAcentral.